RNAcentral lists this ribosomal RNA (546 nucleotides) under Mycobacterium avium. RNAcentral's name for it is "bacterial SSU rRNA". It matches the Rfam family "Bacterial small subunit ribosomal RNA", at positions 8 to 557 of the family's 1533-position model. Lineage: Bacteria; Bacillati; Actinomycetota; Actinomycetes; Mycobacteriales; Mycobacteriaceae. The record is from RNAcentral.
AGAGUUUGAUCCUGGCUCAGGACGAACGCUGGCGGCGUGCUUAACACAUGCAAGUCGAACGGAAAGGCCUCUUCGGAGGUACUCGAGUGGCGAACGGGUGAGUAACACGUGGGCAAUCUGCCCUGCACUUCGGGAUAAGCCUGGGAAACUGGGUCUAAUACCGGAUAGGACCUCAAGACGCAUGUCUUCUGGUGGAAAGCUUUUGCGGUGUGGGAUGGGCCCGCGGCCUAUCAGCUUGUUGGUGGGGUGACGGCCUACCAAGGCGACGACGGGUAGCCGGCCUGAGAGGGUGUCCGGCCACACUGGGACUGAGAUACGGCCCAGACUCCUACGGGAGGCAGCAGUGGGGAAUAUUGCACAAUGGGCGCAAGCCUGAUGCAGCGACGCCGCGUGGGGGAUGACGGCCUUCGGGUUGUAAACCUCUUUCACCAUCGACGAAGGUCCGGGUUUUCUCGGAUUGACGGUAGGUGGAGAAGAAGCACCGGCCAACUACGUGCCAGCAGCCGCGGUAAUACGUAGGGUGCGAGCGUUGUCCGGAAUUACUGG